UACGAAGGGGCUAGCGUUGUUCGGAUUUACUGGGCGUAAAGCGCACGUAGGCGGAUUGUUAAGUCAGGGGUGAAAUCCUGGAGCUCAACUCCAGAACUGCCUUUGAUACUGGCAAUCUCGAGUCCGGAAGAGGUGAGUGGAACUCCUAGUGUAGAGGUGGAAUUCGUAGAGUAUUAGGAAGAACACCAGUGGCGAAGGCGACUCACUGGCCCGAUACUGACGCUGAGGCGCGAAAGCGUGGGGAGCAACAGG
RNAcentral lists this ribosomal RNA (252 nucleotides) under uncultured bacterium. RNAcentral's name for it is "partial 16S ribosomal RNA". It matches the Rfam family "Bacterial small subunit ribosomal RNA", at positions 524 to 775 of the family's 1533-position model. The record is from RNAcentral.